Molecule: ribosomal RNA, 329 nt
Filed under: Varanus brevicauda (Short-tailed pygmy monitor)
Lineage: Eukaryota; Metazoa; Chordata; Lepidosauria; Squamata; Varanidae
Description: partial 12S ribosomal RNA
Rfam family: Bacterial small subunit ribosomal RNA
Source: RNAcentral
AAAACAAUCCAUCCGCCCGAGAACUACCAGCACAAGCUAGAAACUCAAAAGACUUGACGGUGCUUUACCCUACCUAGAGGAGCCUGUCCUUUAAUCGAUACUCCACGAUCCACCCGACCGCCACUAGCAACUUCAGCCUAUAUACCGCCGUCGAAAGUAUAUCCCCCAAGAGAUGCAUAAUUUUCCCAAUAGCCCCGCCCCCGCUAAAACGUCAGGCCAAGGCAUAGCUAAUGUGGCGGCAGAGAUGGGCUACAUUUUCUGCACUCAGAACACACGAAAGACAAUAUGAAACCUAUUAUCCUAAGGUGGAUUUAGCAGUAAGAUGAAAA